This 244-nucleotide non-coding RNA is filed under the name Ricinus communis (castor bean). RNAcentral's name for it is "Eukaryotic large subunit ribosomal RNA". It matches the Rfam family "Eukaryotic large subunit ribosomal RNA", at positions 3158 to 3401 of the family's 3401-position model. The record is from Rfam by way of RNAcentral. Lineage: Eukaryota; Viridiplantae; Streptophyta; Magnoliopsida; Malpighiales; Euphorbiaceae.
GACGCGUUGUCCGCCGCUCGUUUGCCGACCAGCAGUAGGGGCCCUCCGGCCCCCAAAGGCACGUGUCGUUGGCUAAGCCCUCGCGGCGGACGAGCCGCGCGGGCCGCCUUGAAUUACAAUUUCCACCGGGCGGCGGACUGAAUCCUUUGCAGACGACUUAAAUACGCGACGGGGUAUUGUAAGUGGCAGAGUGGCCUUGCUGCCACGAUCCACUGAGAUUCAGCCCUUCGUCGCUCCGAUUCGU